ACUAAAAGGCGCGGUAUUUUGACCGUGCGAAGGUAGCAUAAUCAUUAUUCUUUUAAUUGAAGGCUUGUAUGAAGGGUUGGACGAGAAAUUAGCUGUCUUUAUAGGAGAAAUAAAAUUUAACUUUUAAGUGAGAGGGCUUAAAUACUCUAAAGGGACGAUAAGACCCUAUAAAGUUUGACACUUUAUCUUUUGUUGAAUGAGUCAGAAUAAUUAAAGUUUAUCAGGAGCAAGGUGUUUUGUUGGGGCGACAAGAAUAUAAAUAAUUUAACUGUUUUUAUGUAGUUACAAAGAUAAUUGAAUUUAUGGUCCUUAUUAAAGAGUGAAGAGUAAAUUACUUUAGGGAUAACAGCGUAAUUUUUUUUGAGAGUUCAUAUCGACAAAAAAGUUUGCGACCUCGAUGUUGAAUUAAAGGUUCUUUGUAAUGUAGCAGUUACAGAAGAGGGUCUGUUCGACCUUUAAAUCUUUACAUGAUUUGAGUUCAAACCGGCGUCAG
RNAcentral lists this ribosomal RNA (493 nucleotides) under Geocharax gracilis. RNAcentral describes it as "partial 16S ribosomal RNA". It matches the Rfam family "Archaeal large subunit ribosomal RNA", at positions 2000 to 2694 of the family's 2987-position model. The record is from RNAcentral. Lineage: Eukaryota; Metazoa; Arthropoda; Malacostraca; Decapoda; Parastacidae.